Molecule: ribosomal RNA, 25 nt
Filed under: Fagus grandifolia (American beech)
Lineage: Eukaryota; Viridiplantae; Streptophyta; Magnoliopsida; Fagales; Fagaceae
Description: partial 18S ribosomal RNA
Source: RNAcentral
UAGGUGACCUGCGGAAGGAUCAUUG